Molecule: non-coding RNA, 85 nt
Organism: Dermatophagoides farinae (American house dust mite)
Lineage: Eukaryota; Metazoa; Arthropoda; Arachnida; Sarcoptiformes; Pyroglyphidae
Source: the annotation of a RefSeq genome assembly
GUCAGGAUGGCCGAGUUGGUCUAAGGCGCUGGACUCAAGUUCCAGUCAACGUAUGUUGGCGUGGGUUCGAAUCCCACUUCUGACA